CAAAAUUAUCGGACAAAAAGCAACACGGACCAUAAGUAACGGUAAAAAAGCAAAAGUGUCGGACCAAAAGCAAAAUUUUCGGACAAAAAUCAAAACGGAUUGAAUGCAACGGACAAAGAGCAAAAAAGCUGGGAGAAAAAAAGCAUAGUCGGACAAAAAGCAAAUCCCGGACCGAAAGCACAGUAUCAUACGAGCAACUAUAGGCCUAGUUAUGUAAAGCAAAUCCAGUAUUGUGUUUAUUAAUCAAGCUUUAAUAAAAAGGCAUCUACAUGACGAAAUAUUCAAAGCAGAAAACCAACGACCUUUUAUGACAAACAAAUACAUGAACUACAAUAAUAUUAUGACAG
RNAcentral lists this long non-coding RNA (347 nucleotides) under Mytilus galloprovincialis (Mediterranean mussel). Lineage: Eukaryota; Metazoa; Mollusca; Bivalvia; Mytilida; Mytilidae. The record is from RNAcentral.